Molecule: long non-coding RNA, 1550 nt
Organism: Callithrix jacchus (white-tufted-ear marmoset)
Lineage: Eukaryota; Metazoa; Chordata; Mammalia; Primates; Cebidae
Source: Ensembl
UUUCUGAAAACAGAAGAGAUACAGUCUUCAUUUAAAAGUGAUCCAUGAAGUGACAUCAGCAAGAUAAGCAACUAAACUGCCUGGCUUUUGUCCCCACCCCAAAAGGGACUAAAACAAUGAUUAAACAGCUACAUUUUGGCUGGAAUAUCUGAAGAAUUGUGCUGGAGAGUACCAAGGAAACAGUGAAACUCUUGUGGAGCACAGAAGCCCAGGAUAGUCAAUAAAGACGGGAGUGAGACAUCCUGCCUUUGCCAUAUUAUCUCCUUCACUAGGAUCAGAUUGGAGCCAGAGAGUACUCUUUUUAUGGAUAAAGGAAUUGCUGAAAGAGUUGAAGAGGUGGAAAAAUAUACUAAAACCAGCGGUUUCUCAUUACCUCUACCCUAAUAUCGUCUUUCAAGCCACCAUCAACUUCCACAUGGACUAUUGCAAUAACCUUCUAAUAUGCUUGCCCCAAUCCAAACCUACCUCACAUUGGCCAAAAUCACAACUGGACUAGACAGAAUCAGGCCACUGGUAAAUUCUUAGAUGGAAAUUCCUACAGCUCCUCCUUUUAUCCUCUCUGUUCUAUCAUCAGGUCUUCUUGAAGUUUGGACUACAUCAAGCUCAGUUCUGCUAAGAGGUUCAGGCUGGACUACCUGCCUCCAGGACUUUUCAUGAUUUCCUCAAAUACUACCACUCUAGAGAAGACUUGUGUUCUUAAAAUGCUCAAAGUGAAAGUAUUCCCUUCAUCAUUCUAUACUCUGUAUACCUUACCUAUAUAUUUUCCAGGACUCAUGUGGUAAUAGUAAUUUAGUUAUUGAUUUCUUUAUUGCUUCUUCUCCCCACUAAAUAUAUGCUUUGUAAAUCAGGAACUUGAUCUUGUUUACUUCACCAUGCUCAGUCUCUAGGUAAUACCUGACAUUUUGUUAUAGCUAAAUGUUAAUAUUAUGAAUAAUUUACUUCACCUCCUUCAUUUGACAGUUAUGAGAAUUUUAAACGCAUUUCUUGUCUCCAAGUGGCUUUGCCCAGAGUAUUCAAUCUUUAUUUGUUAAACUGAGAAAAAUAAAUACAUGUCCUGGGUCUAUGAGAUUAUUCAUGCAAAAGUUAGAAAAAUUAAUGAUUUUUAAAGUAUUUCUUAAUAUUCUUUAUCUCAUCUUUUAGGCCUCUAGCCCAUAAUUAUACCAUAAGAUAUACAACUCCAGGAAUUUUAUUACUCUAGUUUCUCUUCUAUCAGAAACUAGACUGCUUUGAAUAAAAAUACCAACCAUUUUUUGGUCUAGUUAACACUAGAUAAAAUUUAAAUUUUCUUUUAAAAUUGGAAAUGAAAGCUAAUACAAAAUAGAGCUAUAUCUAUACUCCUCAUUUUCUUUGUUUGUAGUGCAAUGUUUUCAUGGUAUUUUUAAAUUUUAGAGAACAUCACUUUAACAAUAAAUGACAUAUUUAUUUCACCAUUAGACAAUUUUAUGAUACAUAAAUUACUAAUAGAAUUUAAGAUUGAAAUAAUUGUUUAAUCACUUGUGUAAUCUUUUACAACCUUUUUUUAGGUUACUAUAAUAAAUUACUGUAGUUCA